RNAcentral lists this ribosomal RNA (406 nucleotides) under uncultured bacterium. RNAcentral's name for it is "partial 16S ribosomal RNA". It matches the Rfam family "Bacterial small subunit ribosomal RNA", at positions 30 to 526 of the family's 1533-position model. The record is from RNAcentral.
AUUGAACGCUGGCGGCAGGCCUAACACAUGCAAGUCGAGCGAGCGGCGGACGGGUGAGUAAUGUCUGGGAAACUGCCUGAUGGAGGGGGAUAACUACUGGAAACGGUAGCUAAUACCGCAUACCAUCAGAUGUGCCCAGAUGGGAUUAGCUAGUAGGUGGGGUAACGGCUCACCUAGGCGACGAUCCCUAGCUGGUCUGAGAGGAUGACCAGCAACACUGGAACGGAGACACGGCCCAGAUCCCUACGGGAGGGACAAGUGGGGAAUAUUUGACAAUGGGCGAAAGCCGUAUCCAGACAUGCCGCGUGUGUGAAGAAGGUCUGCGGAUUGUAAAGCACUUUAGUUUGGAAGGCGUUACCAAAAGAGUAAGCACCGGCUAACUUCGUGCCAGCAGCCGCGGUAAUAC